ACAAUUAAACAAUCUUACAAAUUGCAUAUAGGUUUCAGUAUUCCCCAAAUCAAAAUUUCAGCAAUCUAUAUUUAAAUGUUUCAGGACUCUCAUCAAAUUAGAGUCCUAAAUUGUUGUAUGAAGCAAGUCUCCCCCACUACCCACCCCAAAAAAAUCCCUCUUCUCUCCCAUGUUAUAGAUAAUAAUGACAUAAUAUCUGGGUUGAAGAUGAUCAAGUUCUAGAGGUUUGUCAGUUUCCUUAACGUCUAUGAAGGUGGCUACUGCCUCAGCUUAUACAAAGCAUACUUAGAUGUGCGUGUAAAAGCUGUCAGAUUGAAGCUGCUAUUUAGAUGUUUUUCUAUGUGAUGGGCAUGUAUAUUGGUUUAAUUCAUAUUUGUGUGUGACGCCAUAUUUGUGUGUGACGCAUGGCAUUUUUUGACAUUAUAGUCGACUCGUACUUGGAUGGGGGAUUGCUAGGUAAACGUAACUAGUCAAAUUGCAGUCUUUCAGUUAAAAGAAAAAAUUGCAACAGAGAUAAAAGCAAAAUUUACUGAUCACUU
This 539-nucleotide long non-coding RNA is filed under the name Olea europaea (common olive). RNAcentral describes it as "long non-coding RNA (OEUR_LNC007466)". Lineage: Eukaryota; Viridiplantae; Streptophyta; Magnoliopsida; Lamiales; Oleaceae. The record is from RNAcentral.